This 379-nucleotide ribosomal RNA is filed under the name uncultured bacterium. RNAcentral describes it as "bacterial SSU rRNA". It matches the Rfam family "Bacterial small subunit ribosomal RNA", at positions 29 to 400 of the family's 1533-position model. The record is from RNAcentral.
AACGAACGCUGGCGGCGCGCCUAAUACAUGCAAGUCGAGCGAGAAGACGUAGCAAUACGUUUGUAAAGCGGCGAACGGGUGAGGAACACAUGGGUAACCUACCCUAGAGUGGGGAAUAACUAGCCGAAAGGUUAGCUAAUACCGCGUACGCUCCUUGGACUUCGGUACAGGGAGGAAAGCGAUACCGUGGGUAUCGCGCUCUUGGAUGGGCUCAUGUCCUAUCAGCUUGUUGGUGAGGAACGGCUCACCAAGGCUUCGACGGGUAGCUGGUCUGAGAGGACGAUCAGCCACACUGGCACUGCGACACGGGCCAGACUCCUACGGGAGCAGCAGUAAGGAAUAUUGCGCAAUGGGCGAAAGCCUGACGCAGCGACGCCGC